AGCAGCCGCGGUAAUUCCAGCUCCAAUAGCGUAUAUUAAAGUUGUUGCAGUUAAAAAGCUCGUAGUUGAAUUUCGGGGUUAGUAGGUUGGUCAUGCCUCUGGUAUGUACUGGUCUCACUGAUUCCUCCUUCCUGAUGAGCCGUAAUGCCAUUAAUUUGGUGUUGCGGGGAAUUUGGACUGUUACUUUGAAAAAAUUAGAGUGUUUAAAGCAAGCUAACGCUUGAAUACAUUAGCAUGGAAUAAUGAAAUAGGACGUUCGAUCCUAUUUUGUUGGUUUCUAGGAUUGACGUAAUGAUUAAUAGGGAUAGUUGGGGGCAUUAGUAUUCAAUUGUCAGAGGUGAAAUUCUUGGAUUUAUUGAAGACUAACUACUGCGAAAGCAUUUGCCAAGGAUGUUUUCAUUAAUCAAGAACGAAAGUUAGGGGAUCGAAGACGAUCAGAUACCGUCGUAGUCUUAACCAUAAACUAUGCCGACUAGAGAUCGGAUGAUGUUAAUUUUUUAAUGACUCAUUCGGCGCCUUA
This 520-nucleotide unclassified non-coding RNA is filed under the name uncultured Glomus. RNAcentral describes it as "SSU rRNA". It matches the Rfam family "Eukaryotic small subunit ribosomal RNA", at positions 569 to 1090 of the family's 1831-position model. Lineage: Eukaryota; Fungi; Glomeromycota; Glomeromycetes; Glomerales; Glomeraceae. The record is from RNAcentral.